CCUACGGGGGGCAGCAGUGGGGAAUAUUGGACAAUGGGGGCAACCCUGAUCCAGCCAUGCCGCGUGUGUGAAGAAGGCCCUCGGGUUGUAAAGCACUUUCAGUGAGGAAGAACGCCUGGUGGUUAAUACCCAUCAGGAAAGACAUCACUCACAGAAGAAGCACCGGCUAACUCCGUGCCAGCAGCCGCGGUAAUACGGAGGGUGCGAGCGUUAAUCGGAAUUACUGGGCGUAAAGCGCGCGUAGGUGGCUUGAUAAGCCGGUUGUGAAAGCCCCAGGCUCAACCUGGGAACGGCAUCCGGAACUGUCAAGCUAGAGUGCAGGAGAGGAAGGUAGAAUUCCCGGUGUAGCGGUGAAAUGCGUAGAGAUCGGGAGGAAUACCAGUGGCGAAGGCGGCCUUCUGGACUGACACUGACACUGAGGUGCGAAAGCGUGGGUAGCAAACAGGAUUAGAUACCCCAGUAGUC
This 465-nucleotide ribosomal RNA is filed under the name Vreelandella stevensii. RNAcentral's name for it is "partial 16S ribosomal RNA". It matches the Rfam family "Bacterial small subunit ribosomal RNA", at positions 338 to 795 of the family's 1533-position model. Lineage: Bacteria; Pseudomonadati; Pseudomonadota; Gammaproteobacteria; Oceanospirillales; Halomonadaceae. The record is from RNAcentral.